UAAAGUGGCGAACGGCUGAGUAACACGUGGGCAACCUGCCCUUUUGCACUGGGAUAGCCUCGGGAAACCGAGGUUAAUACCGGAUACUCCAUAUUUGUCGCAUGGCGAAUAUGGGAAAGCUCCGGCGGCAAAGGAUGGGCCCGCGGCCUGUUAGCUAGUUGGUGGGGUAGUGGCCUACCAAGGCAAUGAUGGGUAGCCGGGUUGAGAGACCGACCGGCCAGAUUGGGACUGAGACACGGCCCAGACUCCUACGGGAGGCAGCAGAG
Molecule: ribosomal RNA, 266 nt
Filed under: uncultured Atopobium sp.
Lineage: Bacteria; Bacillati; Actinomycetota; Coriobacteriia; Coriobacteriales; Atopobiaceae
Description: partial 16S ribosomal RNA
Rfam family: Bacterial small subunit ribosomal RNA
Source: RNAcentral